ACGGGUGAGUAACGCGUGAGCAAUCUACCUUAGUUACAGGGAUAGCCCGAGGAAACUCGGAUUAAUACCUGAUAUUCUUUAUUUCUCGCAUGAGAAUAAAAGGAAAGGUCAGCCGAACUAAGAUGAGCUCGCGUUCUAUCAGCUAGUUGGUGAGGUAAAAGCUUACCAAGGCUACGACGGAUAGCUGGUCUGAGAGGACGAUCAGCCACACUGGGACUGAGACACGGCCCAGACUCCUACGGGAGGCUGCAGCAGGGAAUAUUGUGCAAUGAACGAGAGUUUGACACAGCGACACCGCGUGUGGGAUGACGGAUCUAGGUUUGUAAACCACUUUCAGGAGGGAAGAAAAUGACGGUACCUCCACAAGAAGCCCCGGCCAACUACGUGCCAGCAGCCGCGGUAAUACGUAGGGGGCGAGCGUUGUCCGGAUUUAUUGGGCGUAAAGAGCUCGUAGGCGGUUCAACAAGUCGGUCGUGAAAGUUCAGGGCUCAACCCUGAAAUGUCGAUCGAUACUGUUGUGACUAGGAUACGGUAGAGGUGAGUGGAAUUCCGAGUGUAGCGGUGAAAUGCGUAGAUAUUCGGAGGAACACCAAUUGCGAAGGCAGCUCACUGGACCGCUAUCGACGCUGAGGAGCGAAAGCUAGGGGAGCAAACAGGGUUAGAUACCCUGGUAG
RNAcentral lists this ribosomal RNA (674 nucleotides) under uncultured bacterium. RNAcentral describes it as "bacterial SSU rRNA". It matches the Rfam family "Bacterial small subunit ribosomal RNA", at positions 102 to 793 of the family's 1533-position model. The record is from RNAcentral.